UACUACGGCCAUGCCUGCCUGUUAUUAAUCUCAUCAGAUCUUGGAAGCUAAGCAGGGCAUGGCCAGGUUAGUAUUUGGAUGGGAGACUACUGGGACAGCAGCGGCUCUAAUGG
RNAcentral lists this ribosomal RNA (113 nucleotides) under Periophthalmus magnuspinnatus. Lineage: Eukaryota; Metazoa; Chordata; Actinopteri; Gobiiformes; Gobiidae. The record is from RNAcentral.